UACGGAGGAUGCGAGCGUUAUCCGGAUUUAUUGGGUUUAAAGGGUGCGUAGGCGGAUAGAUAAGUCAGUGGUGAAAACCUGCAGCUUAACUGUAGACUUGCCAUUGAUACUGUCAGUCUUGAGUAUGGUCAAGGUAGGCGGAAUGUGUAAUGUAGCGGUGAAAUGCUUAGAUAUUACACAGAACACCGAUUGCGAAGGCAGCUUACUGGGCCAUUACUGACGCUGAUGCACGAAAGCGUGGGGAUCGAACAGG
This 253-nucleotide ribosomal RNA is filed under the name uncultured bacterium. Its description in RNAcentral is "partial 16S ribosomal RNA". It matches the Rfam family "Bacterial small subunit ribosomal RNA", at positions 524 to 776 of the family's 1533-position model. The record is from RNAcentral.